CAAGCCGUCCGUGGAAUUUGAGCCGACCGGCUUGCGGCCACGUUAAUCCCCGCUAAAAGGUCGGAGAGCUUGAAAA
This 76-nucleotide non-coding RNA is filed under the name Alphaproteobacteria bacterium. Lineage: Bacteria; Pseudomonadati; Pseudomonadota; Alphaproteobacteria. The record is from RNAcentral.